CGGUGCGCUCCCCGCCGAGGCUCCCCUCGACGCCUGGGCCGCCGCGCAACCGCACUGGAGCGGCUUCUCCCGCUGCCGUCUUCGCGCAGAUAAUGUCUGUGCCUAUCAGAUAAAGGCAAACCAGUGCUCAGAGGAACCCAACCAUCUCUGAAUUGAGACCAGAGAGCUGUCUCUAUGGAUAGUCCUUAGAGAAGGCAUUUCGGAACACAGUAAACAGCAGCCUGGUGACUCCGAUUACAGGGCCAGUUGCCUUUGUUACAAUAAAAGCAAGUCAUCUACACAGAUUUUUCCUACCAGGAAGAGCAUGUGCUGACCAACAGACAUGAAUUUCAGCCUGGUAGUUACAACAUUCACAGUAUACCCACAUCACUAAGCUGGGAGGCACAUUUUGAGACCCAGAAUCCUGACACCUCCAUGCCUUCAAAAGGAUACCGAGGUCUCCCUGUAUUGCCCAGGCUGGUCUCAAACCCCUGGCCUCCAGCGAUCCUUCCACCUCAGCCUCCCAAAGUGCUGGAAUUACAGGUUUGAGCCACUGUGCCCAGUUUCUUCUGUGCUCUUGAUGGAAAACUUAUUAUUACUGCUACUCUCCUCCUUGCCCAUCAGCCAUACUCUGGCUGCAUUAGCUUUCUUUGUAUUCCCAGCACUCCCCAGGCCUGUUGUUCCUUUUGGGUCUUUGUCUGGGGUCUUGCUCUAGCUGUAAUGUUCUUUACCCUUAGAUUCCCAUGAUUGGCUCCUUCUUGUCCCUAAGUCUCAGCUAAAGUGUUAUCCUGAAGAAAGGCCUUCACUGAUGAUCCCAUCCAAAGUAAUCACUGUAUUACACCAUUCAAUUUUAUUCUUUGCAUAGCAUUUACCCAUUGCUAAUAUUUUUCUUAUUUAUUUAUUUUUUUUAAAUAAUCUAUCUCCUGUCAACUAGAAUGUAAGCCCUGAUAGGGCAGGACUCUUUUAUUACACUGUAUUUUCAUUAUUAUAUCUACAGUGCCAAAAACUAUCCCUAACACAGGGGAGAUGCUCUAUACAUGUUUGGGGAGGAGGGAGGAAGGAAGGGAGGGAGGGAGAGAGGAAAGAAGGAAGGAAGGUGGGAAGAAAGGAAAGAAAGGAAGACAAUUGGGAAGGAUUUUUCUGAUCUGAGGCUGAUUGUUGGAGGCAUCCAACUGGUUAUUAUUUUGCUUAACAGCAAAAUAUUUUUAUCCACCUCCUUUGGAAACAAGAGAUCUUAAAGAUGUUUUGAGUUGAUUACAUAAGACUAUUUAACAGUGGUUAUGAAAACAGAUGAGUUAUCCUGAGAGGCUUUACUAGAUAUUUGUCAUCAUGAGCUCAGUCUCAUAAGUUAUUAUAAUAGAAAAUCAGGAAAAACUGCUUAUGUGUUUGAAUUCAAGUAGCUAAGUCUCAAAAUAUAAUAAAAAACAGUUGCACUACAGAUUUUCUUUCAAAAUAGCUCAAAAAUACCUUGUUGGCAGCAAAGGGAGUAAUAAUAAAAUAUCUUCCAAAAAACCUGAAAAUAGGAAAUAAAUUUGCCUUCUGAGAGUUAAACCAGUCAUACACACACACACACACACACACACACACACGUGCACACAUGCACACAUGUGCACGCAUGUGAACAUGCAUAGAAUCACACAGAGAUUAGGCUAAACCCAAUGAGGGAGUAAACUGAGAGAUAACCAGUGUGUACCUGAAGACUUUGGGAAUACCCCUAACUUCAGUGACCUGGGGGUAAUCCAGGAAGGCAAUCACCAGAAUGUGUUUGUUAAUUUAAUCCGUUGUAUGGAGAAAGUCUGGAUGAACAGAGGAUGUAGGCAGAGAGCUGUCAGCCUGUAGCCUGGAAAACCUCAACCUAAGAAGCAAGGAGUGGGUAGCACACUCCCAACUACUGUUCAAGAGAGAAGGGGCCUUGGCCUAAGGAUUUGAGCUCUCAGGUCUCUGUGGCAAAUGUAUCUUUGGAUAAGUCAUCUACCCACCUCUCCUUACUCAGAUUUCAUGCUCCACAUGGCUCCCUGUGUGCUGAAGCCUGAUUAUAGGAAGCAAAGACUCUGGUCUGCUGAUGUGAAGGCUCACCUGUUAGCUGGUUGCAUUUAUGGUUAAAAUGGAAUGAAUUUGAAUUCUGGCUAUACAGCAGUCUCUGUGAGCUUGGGUUAGUAUGAGUUUACCUGUGAGAUAAAGUUCCAGAGCAGAGUGACUUGUGACUUGUGUUGGGUCCAUACUAAGUGGCAGACAGUGGACCAGAAUUUAUACCACAAAUCCAGGUUGGCUCUGAGAAGACACUGCCACUAAGGACUGAUCUAAACUCAGUUCCCUUUCAAGUUCACCAAUUGUAUGACUCACAUGACAUUGAAUGAGGCCGGGAGUGUGAUACUAGCUGGACUCACCUUCAAGAACCCAAAAGACCCCAGUGGAUAAGAUGUGGAUACUCUAGUCCAUGGGUCAGCAAACUUUUUCUGUGAAGGGCCAGAAAACAAAUCUAUUAGGCUUGUGGACCACAUACAGCCUCUAUUACAUAUUUGUUAUCUUC
Molecule: long non-coding RNA, 2509 nt
Filed under: Homo sapiens (human)
Lineage: Eukaryota; Metazoa; Chordata; Mammalia; Primates; Hominidae
Description: HSALNT0301370
Source: RNAcentral